UACAGUUUACCAUUUGAUAAAUACACUUAUAGGAAUGACUAGAAAGGGGAUGAUUUUUUUUGUGGUGAGCUCUGAUGUCACAUUAAGGGGCCUAUCUAUUAUGCUGUGUAAAUGGAGUCUUGUCAAAAAAGGUGAUAAGGGUGAAGACACGCAGAGCUACUAGUAGCAGCUACUUGUCACAUCUACAAAAUAGACAAUAGUGAUUAUUGGCUUAGCUAAGACACUUCAAGUGUUUUAGCAGAGGCAAGUCUUAGUAUUGUCUAUGGCAGGAUAAUUUUUGUAGCUGCUACUAGUGGCCUUGUGUGUUUUCACCCUAAACGUUGUGUAAAAUAAACGGCAAAUUCCUCAACGUUUGUGCGCCUUCCAAAUUCCACAUUUGGCGGCAUUAGAAAAGUAGAAUGCAUGAUAAGGGCACCUUUUUUUCCUUUUGAUGUGUGGUGAAUUUGAAUGUUGUUUCUUUGCUGUAUUUUUACACAACAGUAAAUAUUCCCCGUAGUGUCAGUCAAUCGUUCAAGUGUCCAUUGCUAAUUGAUGUGAAAGGGAUAUGCUCUUCGUUAGAGAGGAUCUGGAUCAUUGGCUAUAGAUAUUUUUCAUUGUCCUUUUUAUUUGAAAGGGCUGAGAACUCUGCUCCCUGAAUAUCGCAUAAUCAUAUUUUAGCUUUGGUAGGGAGUCAUCAGUUACCAGAGAGAGAGUCUGAUAGUAGUAUAGCAAGCAAGUCUUUAUAAAGUUCAAGAAUGCCAUUGAAACAUACAUUUUAUCUUCUGGACCUGUUUUCCCAAUACUUAGCUUUUCUUGCUAACUGUUUAAACUUUUUUUCCUAGAUACAAUUUUUUUUUGUGGAGGAAGAGUUAUCUUCUAUGAAAAGAAUGCUGUCUUCCAUCUCUAAAAGUCAUUUUGGAGUACACAAGCCUGGCCCACAAAAGUUUUGGAAGGUCGAAGAGGCUAGAACAUUACGGGUGGAUGGAGCCAGAGCAUAUCUAAUAAUGCACAGCUAAGACUUCAUGACAGAACAGUUAGAUGAAUACAGGACUUUUUUCUAUGCUCUUUUCUAAUCACAUGGGCAACAAUGCAUAUGCUGGUGAUUGGUCUCUUCUCUAAAUUCACACGACUCCAUCUGGUGCACGUGAUAGGGUGAGUGCUUCCUUCUUUGCCUAUUUAAAGUGUUGAUUUUAAACAUUCAUGGUCUUGAAAAAGGUCCUAGAGGUGGACCGAAACUUCGGCCUGUUUUUAAUUAACUUAAAUAAAAUUAUGGUUUUAAAAUAACCUAUCCAAGGGUUCCGAGUGUGCACUCAUUCUCCUCUGGAAAGCUAUUGAUAAUACAUAUUUGAGUAGCACCUGGGUAUUUUGUUCAGUUCAGUGGGGUGCGGAAAAAACUAAUUAUAUAUAUAUAUAUA
Xenopus laevis (African clawed frog) is the source of this 1394-nucleotide long non-coding RNA. RefSeq lists it as uncharacterized. The record is from RefSeq and is a predicted model, not a curated record. The transcript is spliced from 3 exons. Lineage: Eukaryota; Metazoa; Chordata; Amphibia; Anura; Pipidae.